This 14675-nucleotide long non-coding RNA is filed under the name Nicotiana tabacum (common tobacco). Its description in RNAcentral is "long non-coding RNA (NTAB_LNC017898)". The record is from RNAcentral. Lineage: Eukaryota; Viridiplantae; Streptophyta; Magnoliopsida; Solanales; Solanaceae.
GAUCACAAAUGUUGAAUCUAUCUUAUACCUUGAAUAAUGUAUAAAAAUUUGAUUGUCAGACACUGUUACAGCUUAUAUGAUAACUAGGUUAGCCCGGGCCCAAAAAAUAUUAAGUGUUAUUUUAACAUUAUUUUCAAAUGUGACGCACCUUUGCAUAUAGUUAUGCUGUGUUAGUUUUGUCUAUGACGAUAGAAUUAUGACUUUGAUGGCUACUUGUAGUCACAUUCAAAUUUGAAUAAAAUCCAUCAAAAGCCAAACUAAAAUGAAACAAAUAAAAAAUAUAUACAAUGUGGGUGUCUGUCCCUAAUAGUUUUCAUGCUCUUAAUCUUUUUGCCUUACACUCGAGACAAUAAGCUGAUCUGGAAAAUGCAAAAGUUGAAUAAGUAUUAGUACAUAUGCAUAAUACAAAUUAUCAGACUGUGAAAAGUAGAAAGUAGCACCUACAUCACAUUCGGAUAUAUUAGGUUAGACGAUAGCUGCAUUAACAUGUCGUGAUUUAAUAAAAUAGUAACAAUAGCUUCACCAUUAGUAGAUUAAGAUUUUUCUAUAUAAUGGUAGAUCAAAGGCAUAAAAGGAACUGCAUUGUAGCACAGAAAGGAGAAAACAGGACAGUGAGCAGAUAUCAUUCAAAAAAGAACUUUAGAUAACUGUAGAGUUCAAAUGUGACAUGACGCAGUUCAAGAAUCACCUUAUUCCCUCAAUAAGUGAGAUCUAUGAGUAGCAAAAAUGUAUACCAAUUUCAAUUAAUCCCAGACACGAAGUAUGAGCUAGCCAAUUUGGGAGCCUCUUCUUCUUUGUUUCUGGAAGGAAGCAGCCUAAUAUGAUAACAUGUAAGAAGUGACUUAGUCAAUAUCUUCUUUGCUAAUUACUAAUAUUUCCUAUUCUUCAAGUUAUGUCUAUACUAACCGUAAAAAGGAGCAACAUGGGAAGCAAUUCCACACCUGAUAAAAUAGUAAUGGAACGUCAUGCGUCUUUCUCGCAGGAGAUGGUAGAAACUAUAUACAAUAUGCCACAACAUGCUUGUAAGUGAAACAAGUUUUUCCAACAUUCAUGUUACUGCAUAGUUAUCUACACAAGAUGUGAGAUAUUGUACUGCAGCGAACAACUGUGUUAAAAUAUGGUUUAAGCAGAAGCAUAACUACUACUCUACGACUCUAGUUACCAAAAGUAGUCGCAGAUGCCAAAGUUUUUACGCGAGCUUCAUUGAACUUGGGUUGUGUCUCUUGGCCUAAUAGUAUAAACAAUAGAUUCAGUAUGAGCGAAAAAUAAGACUUCAAAAUAUGUAGUUUCAAGUAUAAACAAUACAUUCAAUAUCCGCUUUCCUAUACUGAUUUCAAGAGUAAAAAUGUUCCAAAAAGCUUGAUGGUAAGAAAAGUUGGAGAAAAUAAAAAAUAUACCAUGAGCCUCAAUCAGGACAGAAAAUACAGAAAUGAAAACAUAUAACAAAAACAGCUAGAGUGGAUACAGUAUUUUAGUCAAAAAUGAUUGAGAAGCCACUACUAAAUGAAUAUCCUUUUUGUCACAUAUAAUUGUUGAUAGGCAUUUGUAGGACAAUUUUCAGAUGUUCUUUAACUUUUUUCUACAAUAAAAACUAAGGAAAAACUUAAAGGUAAAUACUAAUAUGAAUAGUCAGUUAACCAUUUGCUCCAACCUAAAAUUCAUAAGGUUCUUACAGUAAGAAAUUCACAGAGCUUAUGUAGCAAGGCCAGUGAAGAUAAAAUUGUAUAUAAUUUCACAAACAUUUGCAACCAAAUAUUUAUCCAAUUUGAAUAAUUUCUAGCCAGCAGAAAUUCCGAAAAUUAGGAAAAGAAGAAACCAAAACUUAUCUUAUAACUAUAAGCGAAGCAUAAAGAGCAAAGACAUAUAAUUUCAAGGAAUUUUUGGUCAGGCAAAUUAACUGGGAAUAAGAGCUCCGUAAGUUUAACCUAAUAAGUUAUAGCCUGUUUUUCACUGUACUAUUUAACACCAUAUUUCUUUUAAACCUUUGUCAAGAAAAAAAAACUCUCAAACUAUUUGAAAAGGAAUUCACAAAGUUAGUCUUUUCAGUUGGGAGGGGUAGAUGGCAUCUUAUUUCAAUAUCGUAAAAGCUUAAAAUCUUUUUAAUAAAGUAAAGAAUUUCAAAAACAAAAAUAUUCAAACACCUUUAGAAACAAACACCAUCACAUCCUCUGCAUUGCAGAAAUUGCUAUUGAAUCAUUGGCAAUAAUGAAGAAGCUUAUUAGCUGAACUAUGGCUAGUAAACACAACAUUCGAAUACUAAAUUUAUUUCCAGAGAUUAUUUCUGGUAGAAAAUGAAAAUUUUAAGCUGUAGUAAAACGGCGGCAACCCAAUUCAAACAAUUUCUACGCAACAACUAUUUCAAAAAGCAGGAAAAUAAGAAAGCCGAGAAAUUCAGCAAUACAAUUUGGAGGUUCACACAAGACAUGCCAACCAUCUCGAGUGACGUCUAAGUUUAUCUUCCAGUGUUAACGAUUUAUUAACUUUCGUGUGUCGACUGUCCUCAUAUAAGAAUGGAAAAAGACAGCUAUUGAGCAAGUCUACUACUCCAGCAACGAAAAACGUAACCUUAUUGUUAUUCAGUGAAAGUCUGCUCUAGCAAAGAGUAGUAACUAUACCAUCAAAACUGAAAAUUGACAAGCUAUAUAUGAAUGACUUUAUUAAUAAUACACAACUUUAACAAAAUAAUCACAGUAAUUCAAUUUUCCCUUUCGGUCUUGGAAUAACAUGCAUUCGAGAGUUUUAUUAUGAAAAACUUAUCAGUGCAUAAGCUACAAAUGUUGUGCAUUACCACCAAGCCUAAGAUGACAUAUGAAGAUAUAAUGAAAGGAUAAAAAUGUAAUACUGAAAUAAGGAUUGCUUAAGGAAACAGAUAACAGGGUAAACUUUUGAUGUUCUACCAAGAAGAAACUUAGAAAGAUAAAAUUAGUAAUCAAAAGCAUAACAAGAUCCAAUAAUGGUCAAGAUGGCAUUGUGAGGUACUCAAAGGAGGGCUGAAACAUAGAAAAAAUCAAGAAUGGUGCGAAUGCCAUAACAGAAGUGAUCAAAGAGGAGAAAUACAUCAGAAGAAUAUAACUGGUAAAUGAGAAAAAUGUGCUAGCAGUAGUCCAAAAGUAGAUAACAGCAGGACAUGGUCAACUACCAUAUCUAGACAUCAGAGAUAAAAUAAUUCAUAUUUUCACAGAGAAUUCUAUUGUUCCACCAAUUGGAGUUAUGAUUCUUUACCUUGUAAGCACGGAGAAUUUUUCCUUUUUCAGUUACAUUGACAAAGAUGUCUCACAAAAUGAUAUAAAGCCACUCGUUAAUAAUAUUAUCAGAGGUCAUGUAUUAGAUAUUUGGAGAUAACACUGUACCGUUUGCGAUCUUAUUAAAUUGAUUAAUCUACGCUAUAAUUAAGAGAGAAUGGAACAUGAUGUACCUUUAUGAUGCUAUCCAGAGCAAACAAUAAAAGCAACUUGCUUUUUCACUCCCAACACAAUCAUGAGGACCCUAAGAAAAUAACAUUUUGAGUAAUCUGCUUGUUACAAGUUUUAUAUGUAAAAUGAUAGGUCAACGUAGUCACAUUUAAGUAUAAAGAAACACGAAAUUCCGUGCUUCUUCAAGUUGAGCUAUUUGCAUUUGAUCACAUUGAAUGGUAAGACUUGAUUUUGGGACGUGGAUAAAUGAUACAUAAUGUGAGUAUGAAUGCAAGCUUAAUUAUAAUUUGGAGAAGAAAUUUAUAUUAUACAUUACAUAUUUAAGAUAAUAGUUCAUAGUAAAAUUCAAAAAUCAAACAACAGAGUGAAAAAUAAUUCUGACGAAGCAACCUCAUUGCUCCAAGCAACCUAAUUGGAUGCAGUUUGAAAACAAUGCAUAUAUGAGAAGAAAACGUCGAUGUAUAGUCUAUUUGAAAAACUUGUGUAUAACAGCAAGUUACAUUUCAUCAUCAUAUGUAGAAACUGCUAAAUAUGCUUUACCUGUGUGCGUCGACCUUAUUUUGGGAAUUCCGAAGUACAUGUGCCACAAACAAGAUCUGUAUUCUUGUGCUAAAACAUUAUGUCCAACUCUGUAACGUGUGAAAGAUUCACAAGAAGCCUUUUGAAUGAUUUCAUCAUAAACUAUGUUUAUGUUAUAUGUAGAAUGAUCGUCAUCACUAUCUGGGUUUGGGGGUCGAAUUAAUAACUUGACACAAUUGGAAGCUUUUGCUCUCUACAAUGCAACAUAAAGUUGACCAUGUGAAAACACUUGUUCUCGUAAAUAUAUUCCAACAAAAUCUAAUGUUUGACCUUGUGCUAUAUUUAUAGUCAUAGCAAAACAAAGUCUGUGAUGACAUCAAUGGUAUUCUCGGAAUGAACACAUGUGUAUUUUUAAAGUCACCGCUUACAAUUUUUGCACUUAUAACAUGUGUUUUAAAAUCACAACAUGUCAAUCUUGUGCCAUUGCAUAAACCUUCACAAGGAUUCAAAUUUCGUAGUAAUAUAAUUGGACAAUUUUCUUUCAAAGUUAAUCUGUAAGGAGGUAAACCAGCAGGAUUUAAAGAAUGCAAAAAAUCUUCAUACUGACUUUGAUCAUUCGAUUCACAUAUUUCAUCAAUUGCAACAAAUGUUUUAUCUUCUUUUGGAAAUUUGCCUAUAAGCAUAUCAUUUAUUUCAUCCACAAAAUCAUCUUUCGUCAAAAUAACACGAGAAGUCAUAGAAGAUGCAUCACAGAAGAAAUCAUGCAUAUUAGGAAAUGUUAUUUCAAAUAAUACAUUCAAAGAUUCCUGUUCAGUAGUAUAAGGGACAAUAAAUGAAUUUGGAAUUUCAAUUUUGUUUUCAGAACUAAGAGGUUCUUUUCCAUUUCCUAUUCUCAUCAAAUAUUCACAAAAGACAGGAUCAGUUUUCGCACGCAUGUUUUCUGACAAUUGCAAUUUCUCAAGUCGGGGCCAAAUAUCAUAAUAUAAUAAACUCUCAUGAAUAAAAUCUUUUUUUUUUUCCGUUUCGAACUACUGGUAGAGUUUGUUUAAAAUCACCACCAAAGACAACAACUGUACCACCAAAAAGCACAUUAUUAUUCAAGAGAUCUUUCAAAAGUAGAUCAAAAGUUUCAAUUAUUUUCUUUUUUGCCAUUGAUACUUCAUCCCAUACAAUUAAUUUUGCAUCUCGAAUCAAACAGGCAAGCGAACUUUGUUUUCUAAUAUUGAAACUAAAGUUUUCAUCAAUGUCAAUGGGAAUUUUAAAACGCGAAUGAGCUGUACGGUCACCUGGAAGAAUCGAAGCCGCAACUCUAGAGGUUGUUGUUGCUAGAGCAAUAAAUCCUUUAGAUCGUACGGUAGCUAAUAAGGCACACUAUAAAAAAGUUUUACUUGUUCCUUUCGGACCGUCAACAAAAAAAACUCCUGCUCUGUUCGAAGAUAUUCUGUCUAUAAUCACAUUGUAUGCUAUCUGUAAUUCAUGUUCAACUUUUGUCGCAAUAAUAGCUCUUCUUCAGUAACGAUUAUGUUUCUUUCAAAGAAUAUUUCUCUUGCUUUUGGCAGCCUUUGAAGCCUUGAAAUUUUCAGGGAUAAAUUAUGCUCAUUAAUGUUAUGUCCCAUUGAAUGCAAGAUGUCAUUGAGACAGUCUAAAACUUUAUAUCGAACACUUUUUGUUUCGAUGUCUGGUAAAGUUUUGAAGUCUUCACAUAUAGAGUUCUCGAAUUUCUCCCAUAAUUCUCUUGGAUUAGCAGGAUCACAAUACACUAAUAAUGUAGCAAACAAAUGUCUCAAGAUGUAUGGUAUUUGAUAACUCUCAGCUUCUACCAUACAUUCAGCUAAAUUAUUGUCACAAUGAAGUAGUCCUCUUGAGCAGAUUCUCUAAAUGUAUUGCAACGUACUUCAUUUACAGUUAAUAGGUCUCCAUAUGAUUUUGAUCCUCUUAUAUUCAUUAAUAAUAAUCUCAAAUAAUAUCUUUCACUUUUCGUUGGAUGACAUGUUACAACACAUCCAAUGACAUUACCCUUUAUUCGACGUGUCCACAUUUUAUAUCGUACUGACCAUACAAAAUAUUGUGAAAAUUCUUUAUAUAGUAGAUUGAGCUUUAUUGCAUCUUUAUUUGUUUUGUUCAUAUCAAAAAAUUUUGUUAACAUUGUUUUUCUAACCAAAGGAUUAUUCAUAAUUGAGUUUACACUUGAAGCACUCCUAAAGGAAACAAAUUGUUGUCCUUCAAGAUGUAAUUGCAAAUGAUAAACAAUUGGUGUCAUUUCAUUAAUAGGGAAACCAAAUAAACGCCAUGUAGCUUCAGGUGGUGAUACUCAUCGAGCAGAUUGAUAUUCUUUUAUUUCAUCUACUUUAACAUGUGCGCCAUUGUCGUGUAUAUGAAAUACAGUUUUAUCAUGUCCUUUGCAAAUAUAUUUAAAAAUAUAUUUAACAGCUUUAAUAUCUGAACAAAUUUCCACAUUUAUGUGACAAUUGAAUUUUCCAAGUAAGAAUGGAUUAUAAGGAUGUCACGACCCUAACCCCGACCCCGGUCAUGAUGGCGCCUCUCGUAAAGACAAGGCCAGCCAGUUCAAUCCAACUCAACUUUUAAAGCAGUUAAUCAACAUAAAAAUAGUCUAAACAUGAUUUAAUGAUAAUAAGUAGCAGAGAUACAACCCGACACAGCCCUAACCGGGGUCUCACAAGUCACGAGCAUCUACUAGGGUAUAAAUACAACUGAAAGUCUGAAGUGUACAAAUACAGACUAAUGAAAUGAAGAGAGAGAAAAGUCUACCUUGCUAAACUCCGAUGACUCUGCCUCAGAUCAACCAAAACCCGAUACCGGGUGUAUAAAUACCUGAAUCUGCACACAAUGUACAGGGAGUAAAGUGAGUACUCGAAUUCAGUGAGUAACAAAUAUAAAUAAUGACUGAAAGUAAGAAAUCACGUAAAACACAAGGCAUUCCAUACUGAAGCAGUAAAAUCACUUAAAACAGUAAAACAGUGAAAAUUCAAGUGAAAGUCCCUUUCUCAACAAGUAAAACAAGUAAUUGACAGGUAAGUAAACAAAUAGAAAUUUGCCCCUCGGGCACAGUAUCAACAAAUCCACCCAUCGGGCAAUAUCUCAGAAUGGUACCAGCCCCUCGGGCUCAAAUCUCAGAACAAUACCAGCCCCUCGGGUUCAAUCUCACAUCACAAUGGGUACCCGCGCUCACUGGGGGUGUACAAACUCCNNNNNNNNNNNNNNNNNNNNNNNNNNNNNNNNNNNNNNNNNAUUUAUGUAUCUCAGACCCUCGGCCUCAUAUCAGUAUCGAUGUAUCCUCACAACUAGGUCCUCGGCCUUACUCAGUCCAAAAAUCAUCACAAGCCCCUCGGACAAUAGUAAAACAGUAUUUCUCAGCCCAAAAUAUCAUUUAAGUCUCAAAAUUGAGUAGUAAAAUAGUGGAAAAUAACAUGAUUAAGUUCAAGUAAUAAGUCAAAACAGUGAGGAAAUAGUAAUAAAAAUCCCCGAAGGGUUCAAAUAGUUGGCACAAAGCCCAAAUAUGGCAAUCAACCCAAAUCAUGAUGAUAGCAAAUACGUUUCAGUCAAAUACGCGGUAAAAUCAUCAAUCGAGACGGACCAAGUCACAAUUCCCAAUAACGCACGACCCCACGCUCGUCGUCAAGCAUGUGUCUCACCUCAAUAUAGCACUACGAUGUGCAAAUCCGGGGUUUCAAACCCUCAGAGCAUCAUUUACAAUCAUUACUCACCUCGAACCGCCUAAAUCUCUAACUCACGAUGCCUUUGCCCCUCGAAUCGGUCUUCACACGCGUCGAAUCUAUCCAAAAUCAUAACGAAUACGUCACAAUAUGCUAAGGGAAUAAAGCCCAAGCAAAAACAAUCAACAAAGGGCACGAUUCCCGAAAUUACCAAAACCUGAGCCCCGGGUCCACGUCUCGGAAUCGGGUAAAAUUUACAUUUUCAGAAUCUUCAUACCCUCACAAGUCUAACCAUACCAAAAUUAUCCAAUUCCGGUACCAUUUGGUCCUUCAAAUUAUCAUUUUAUAUUUUUGGAAGAUUCCACAACUUUUCUUCCCAAAUUCCAUCCCAAAUCACGAAUUAAAUGAUGAAUUCAAUGAUAAAUUCAUGUAUUCUAGCCUAAUCUCAGUUAGAAUCACUUACCCCAAUGUUCUUGAAAAACCUUCGAAAAAUCGCCAAAAUCCGAGUUCUCUAGGUCAAAAUAUUAAAUAAAACCCAAAACCUCAUAUUUAUAGAGUACCCCACAGAUUUCCACCUUUGCGGACUGCACAAAAACGACCGCGGUCCGCACAAAAAUGACUGCGGCCGCACAGGUUUUCAUCUGCAGUGAAAGGCUUUAGUAUUUUGGCCAUAACCUUCGCUACAGAUGUUCAAAUUGCGAUAUCUUUACCUUACUUGAAACUAGACACGAAGGGCUACAACUUUUGUUUUUUAAUCAUCUCAACAUUCCUUGUAUAUCAAAAGAUAUGAGCUUCCGAAAUAGGACCAGUGAAAUGUUCCCCACCGCGGCCGCACUUCAUUUUGUGCGGACCGCACUGGUGGGUUCUGAGGCCUCCAACCCUUCUGGACCUGCUACAGCUAUGAUUUUCGGCCUAAAACAUCCCAGAACCUACCCGGAACCCCUGGAACUUCAAACCAAUUGUACCAACACAUCCCAUGACAUCGUUCAAACUUGUUCAAAACUUCGAAACACACCAAACAACAUCAAAAUGCCAAAUUUGCAUCGGAUUCAAGCCUAAGAAUCCCGAAAUCUUUUAGAUUACGGUUUAGAUCAAAAACCCAACCAAAACACGUCCGAAUGUCCUGAAAUUUUACACACACAUCCCAAAUGACACAACGAAGCUACUGCAAUUCCGACCUCUAUAUCAAAAUCUCACCUAUCCACCGAAAAAUGCCAAAAUCUCAAUUUCGCCAAUUCAAGACUAAACCUUCCACGGACUUCCAAAAUGUAUUCCGAUCACGCUCCUAAGUCCCAAAUCACCUAACGGACCUAACCAAAUCAUAAAGAUUCCAAUCCGAGAUCAUAUACAAACAAGUCAAAUAUUGGUCAACCCUUUCAAAUCUCAAGCUUCAAACUAGGAACUGUUCUUUCAAGUUUAUUCCGAUUAUCCUGAAAACCAAAACCAACGAUUUAUAUAAGUCAUAUUUCAUUACACGGGGCAAGUCAUGCUCGAGAACUGGCGAGCAAAAUGCAAAAGCUCAAAAUGACCGGUCAGGUCGUUACAUCCUCCCCCACUUAAACAUGCGUUCGUCCUCGAACGUGCCUAGAGUUGUUCCCAAAGUCAACCAAUUGCUGAAUAACCUCACCAUGCACAUACCCGGGGGUGAUCCCACAUCACCCUAUCUCACAUAGGUUCGAUAACACAAUAUAAUUGAAAUUUCACAAUCCUUCCUAGUCCAUAAACCAUAGAACCACAUUUCCACUUCUAAAAUCAUCAACACGAUCAGAAUCUCACAUUUAUACUAUGAAUAAAUCCGAACAAGCUGUAACAAACCAUAUAUACUAUCUCCGGUACAAUCACAUGAUAUACCACAUAACUCCACACUUGUAGUGAUAACUUCUAACCACAACAACUGCACACAACAUCUGCAUACCGAUAGAAAAACUCUUAUCAACUAAAGUCUCAUCCCAACACUUUCAUAUACUGCCAAUGAUCAAUAAGACACGCGGUAAGCCAUAACCAUUUCCCAGAUCAACCAUUCAUGAAGCCACUUAUCCUUGGCAAAUACCACAUCAAAUUUCUGAACCGAAGCUUGAUACUAUCCUUCCAACAUGCUGAAAUCGCAUCCAUUCGUAUUUAUUAAUGAUCCCCAACGAUCUCCUCUAAUCCAACACAUUACUCUGGUGACAUGACACAUCCAUACAGGCCUAAGCCACAACUUGCACAAUACACGCACCAAUACACAACAGUCCGAACAUACUCAAAUCAUGAAAAUGGCUCAAAUAAAAGAGUUGUACCUCAGGUUCACCAGUACCACCACAACACAAGGCUGAGAACCCGUCUAACAUUAUAGGAACAAAACACACGAAUCUAACCCGCAAGGUCAUACCUCCACAUAACUUCGUUGCGAUUUGAGAUCCUAUCCAACACUGCUCCACAUGAACNNNNNNNNNNNNNNNNNNNNNGAACCACCUUAAGUCAUAUUGCUCGAAAUCGACAACCACGCACAAUUCGAUGUCUGGAACCAAAGAAAAUCAUCAUACCUACGAUGAAGCAAAUAACAUACACCACACUAACCCGAAAGGACAUAACCGAUACGCCAUUCACUGAGCAACACCCAAUCACUCUUCCUGCUCGACUUCCACUAUGAAACCCCAAUAGAACCGCACCAUAUGUGCCCAUAACCAACAAAUCAUAACAUCUCACAACAUAGAAAGGUAACUCAUGGAUCUCCCCAUAUUACUAAUAAGCUCAAUAACAAUCGAAUCAACACAUCCCUCAACAGUACAAUUCGGAGCCAACCAAGCCGACUCAGGUUAGAACACGCAUCCAUAUUGGCCUGCCAACGAACUCCUUAUCAAGGAAAUCCUGGAGCUGCUCCUUCCACCCCUUUAACUCUACCGGUGCCAUACGAUAUAGUGCCCGACAUCAACUUAAUACCGAAAUCAACAACCUUGCCCAGCGACAUGCCCGACCACAGGAAACACAUCCGAAAAGUCCCUCACCACCGGAACUGAAUCAAUAGUAGAAGCCUCUACAGUAACAUCCAUCACGAAAGCCCAAAUAAGAAAGACAAUCCUUCCCAGCCGUCCGCUGGGUCUUCGAAAUAUAAAACCACUCCACUAGGACAUAAUCCAUCGAACCUCGCCACUCAAUUCGUGACAUUUUCCAGCAUAGCCAACAGCGUCACAUUAGCGCAAUAGUCCAGAAUGACACCACACAGAGACAAACAAUCUGAACCCAAUAUCACAUCCAAAAUCUAACAUACCAAGCAACAAAAGAUCCGCUCGGGUCUCCAAAUCCCGAUAGUCACUAAACAGUGCCGAUACACACGACUCACAACCACCACAUAGCCUAAAUAUGAGAACUUCCCGUCUCCAACUCUAUAUAGUCCAUGAAUCAACAUAUCUGGUCCUAAUCCCGCCGUCCGAAUGAAUACCAUACCUCAAAUGCCCAAUCAUUCCACGAGAGAUAAUCUAGAAUUCCUCUGUGCCACCAAGCAAACUCGAAUAUUAGCAGUCGAGCUAACAAGAAAAAUGCCGCAAAACUACCGAAGUAUUAUCAACUUAAUCUCAUUGCCCUUUCUGAAACAUAUGCCCUCGUCAAAUCACCCCAAAUUAUCAAUACCAUUUCCUUAAUCAUCCAAAGACCCUUUCUCUAAUUAUCUGAAGCUCGUUCCUCUAAUUGUCUGAAACUUCCUGCCGCCUAAGAGUUUGUGACCUUCCUUUCAGAACCGAAUCGCAACCUUACACACGCGAUUCUCAAUCCUUAACAACAUACCGUAUAACCCGAACUAUCCUAGGAUAACCAUGAGAACUUCAUAUCCCUUCCAAACCAUAAGCAACUAUGCAUUCCACUAGCCAAGAACUUCCUAUUGAUCCCAUCUAGAAGAGAACCACUAUACAUCCCAUGCUCCUCACGCCAAUAGGAAAAAUAUACCUCUCUAACUGUGGUGGAAACUAUCUAGAACUCCCCGAAUUCCUUUUACACGACACUAACUCAUCAGGACUGAAUCCUUCUAACUCAACCGAGCUAUACAUGUCACUAAAACCCAAAAGAAUUGCUGCGAAACACCUGCAGAGACUCGUUACCUCGUAAUCACCCAAGGAACUAAUCAUAUCCUUACCAUACCGAUCUGGCCUACUACCAUGCUAUCCCAUCUAUCCGAGUUUCCUUCUGAUUUACGUUCAACUUGAUAUCCCCUCUUGCUGUGGCACCAUAGUUCCUCAACCCAGACUUACCACACGAGACCCAAGCAUAAAACCACACUGUCUAAGGCUCAUAAGCCGCUGAGUACUCUCUUAAAUGUUUCCAAAAGCACCACAUUCAAAAUACCUACCUCGAAGGGACUUCCUGCGAAUUUGGAACCAUUACCUUCCUAAUACUGAUAUAUAGAAUCCCAUAGUUAAUAUAGAAAGUACCACAAGUCCUGACAUCUUCCAAAUGAAAGCUCAGUUCCUAACCACAUAUAUAACUUUAAAAUACCCAAUUGUUACAUGUAGAAUCUUGAACACAUUAGAACUAUUCUCGAGAGUCAUUCACUCUAUUCAAGAUGCAAUUAGUCUGAUCAAAUGAACCGAACAACCCGUGCCUCAUUGGUACCCCGACACUGCAGAAUGAAACCUCAUCCCAAUACAACCAAGCAACUUCCUGCUCUAUGCAACGAGCAUUCUUGCCAAUAACAACUCAAGACAUCACGUGAUUCUCACACACCUAUGAAGCAUAAUAUAAUCUUCGUCAAAAUUUUCCUUUACCCGAGCCAUCCUCGGUCUCAACCUCCGUAGGCCAUAACCGAUUCACCCGAACGUCUCAAACCGGAAGCACAUAACCAUGCAAUCGCUUAAUCAAUAGCAGACUCCCCCACUUGGCUCAAAGGCAUAGACCAAAACACACACAAUAACUCAUAACACAUACUCUAUUGCUGCCACAAUACUUUAGUGAGAUUAAACUCAAACUUUCACAAGCUCGUGAAACACAGACCAUCUGGUACCUUGAAUCUUCUGCAAAUCUCACAUUCAUCCUUGCAACAGUCAAGCCCACUCUCUUAAGCGACUCAAAAUUCAAAUUUCAACAAUUAUAUUUCACUUGACCUUCUAAAAGACACAUAAGGAUCACACAACCUCGGAACACUUCGCAGGAGAUAACCCACCUGCCUUGUCUUCAACUAACAUUUCUGUAUACCUUCAACCGUCACAAACAUUAUGCAGUCACUUAGCCUUCCUGAGUCUGAACUCAUACCGCAACAUGAAAUUUACUUCACUCCCAACUUGGACACAUGAAAAGACUCUUCGCACACCCAUAAUUCGGGGCUAUACCUCAAAUCAAGAUAAAAAUCAAGCACCUAAUAGUCCUUCUAUCCUCCAGCAGACCCUCCUCAUCGCCUCCAAAUCAUAUGGAUACAUCUAGCAGUACUAACAUACUCAUCACAUAGCCAUGCAGCCGUCACUUCCACUAAUAGGGACACUACCGAACAUAUCAGUUCGAAGACACUUGCUCACACAAUCAGCACAUCUGAUAGAGAUCAUGUCUCGCCCCUUGAUUAGGGAAUCACAAGCCAUCAAUGCACAUCUGAUACUAAGCGCUCAUGCGCGCAUACGAACGCGUGGAAGGCAUUCAAGAGUUACUUUUCAAGCUGAUUCAAGGACGCACAAUUAGAAUUCAAGAAUGUGAAGUUUUCCUAAAGGUUCUGCAGCCUCUCGAGGAUAAAUACAGAUGUCUUUGUACCGAUCUGCGAGACUCUACUAAACCUGCUCAUGACUCGUGAUACCUAUGUAACCUAGGAUCUGAUACCAACUUGUGAGAACCCUAACCCCGAACCCGGUCGUGAUGGUGCCUUUCAUGAAGACAAGGCCAACCAGUUCAACCCAACUCAACUUUUAAAGCAGUUAAUCAACAUAAAAAUAGUCAAAACAUGAUUUAAUGAUAAUAAGUUGCAGAAAUACAACCCAACACAGCCCUAACCGGGGUGUCACAAGUCACGAGCAUCUACUAGGGUAUAAAUACAACUGAAAGUUUGAAGUGUACAAAUAUAGAAUAAUGAAAUGAAGAGAGAGAAAAUCAGUGUUGAGAACGCCGACAACUACCUUUCUAAACUCCGGUAACUCUGCCUCGGAUCAACCAAAACCCGCUACUGGGUGUAUAAAUACCUGAAUCUACACACAAGCUGCAGGGAGUAAAGUGAGUACUUGAACUCAGUGAGUAACAAAUAUAAAUAAUGACUGAAAGUAAGAAAUCACGUAAAACACAAGGCAUUCCAUACUGAAGCAGUAAAAUCACUUAAAACAGUAAAACAGUGAAAAUUCAAUUGAAAAUCCCUUUCUUAACAAGUAAAACAAGUAAUUGACAGGUAAGUAAACAAAUAGAAAUUUGCCCCUCGGGCACAGUAUCAACAAAUCCGCCCCUCGGGCGACAUCUCAAAACGGUACCAGCCCCUCGGGCUCAAAUCUCAGAACAAUACCAGCCCCUCGGGCUCAAUCUCACAUCACAAUGGGUACCCGCGCUCACUGGGGGUGUACAGACUCCGGGAGGGGCCCCUUACGGCCCAAAAGCAAUAUCAAACCAUCUCGUGGCAUCAGAUCUAGGCCCUCGGCCUCAUAUCAAUCAAGCCACCUUGUGGCAUAUUUAUGUAUCUCAGGCCCUCGGCCUCAUAUCAGUAUCAAUGUAUCCUCACAACUAGGUCCUCGGCUUUACUCAGUCCAAAAAUCAUCACAAGCCCCUCGGGCAAUAAAAAAAUAGUAUUUCUCAGCUCAAAACAUCAUUUAAAAAAAUCAUUUAAGUCAAAACUGAGUAAAAAUGGUUGAGUAGUAAAUUAGUGGAAAAUAAGAUGACUGAGUUCAAGUAAUAAGUCAAAACAGUGAGGAAAUAGCAACAAAAAUCCCUGAAGGGUUCAAAUAGUUGGCACAAAGCCCAAAUAUGGCAAUCAGCCCAAAUCUUGAUGACAACAAAUAAGUUUCAGUCAAAUACGCGGUAAAAUCAUCAAUCGGGAUGGACCAAGUCAUAAUCCCCAAUAGCGCACGACCCCAUGCUCAUCAUCAAGCGUGUGUCUCACCUCAAUAUAGCACUACGAUGCGCAAAUUCGGGGUUUCAA